This is a long non-coding RNA of Triticum dicoccoides, 578 nucleotides long. RefSeq lists it as uncharacterized. The record is from RefSeq and is a predicted model, not a curated record. Lineage: Eukaryota; Viridiplantae; Streptophyta; Magnoliopsida; Poales; Poaceae. The transcript is spliced from 3 exons.
ACGUAUGGUGAAGCGACACAGAAGCACAUAAAUGAUUACGCUGAUGCUGGCCUGAGGACACUAGUUCUUGCAUACCGGCCUGAGGACACUAGUUCUUGCAUACCGUCAACUUGAGGAGAUCGAAUACACUAAAUUCAAAAGGAACUUCACAGCAGCUAAGAAUUCUGCCAGCGCUGAUCGGGAUGAGCUGAUUGACAAAGCGACAUAUUUGAUAGAGAGGGAUUUGAUUCUGUUUGGAGCCGCCGCCGUUGAGGACAAGCUGCAAAAGGGGGUACCUGACUCACUGACUGCAUCGACAAACUUGCUAAGGCCGGCAUCAAGAUAUGAGUGCUGACGGGCGACAAGACGGAGACCGCCCUCAACAUCGGAUAUGCCUGCAGUCUACUCAGACAAGGGAUGAAACAAAUAACCAUCACACUGGAUACACCAGAUAUCAUUGCCUUGGAGAAAGGUGGUGACAAAGGAGCCAUUAAUAAGGUAGAUAAAGUAUUGCAGAUUAUAGUUACCGAGUCCUCUGUCUAGUACACUGACCAAUUCUUAUGUAGUUUAUACUAUCUAUGUGUUCAUUUUCGGUUCUG